AACGCACAUUGCGCCCCGUGGUAUUCCGCGGGGCAUGCCUGUUCGAGCGUCAUUUCACCACUCAAGCCUGGCUUGGUAUUGGGCGUCGCGGUUCCGCGCGCCUUAAAGUCUCCGGCUGAGCAGUUCGUCUCUAAGCGUUGUGGCAUAUAUUUCGCUGAAGAGUUCGGACGGCUUUUGGCCGUUAAAUCUUUUACAAGGUUGACCUCGGAUCAGGUAGGGAUACCCGCUGAACUUAA
This 236-nucleotide unclassified non-coding RNA is filed under the name Dothistroma sp. Its description in RNAcentral is "partial contains 5.8S ribosomal RNA, internal transcribed spacer 2, and large subunit ribosomal RNA". The stretch from base 1 to 52 matches the Rfam family "5.8S ribosomal RNA", at positions 103 to 154 of the family's 154-position model. The record is from RNAcentral. RNAcentral also lists the same sequence under 2 other names. Lineage: Eukaryota; Fungi; Ascomycota; Dothideomycetes; Mycosphaerellales; Mycosphaerellaceae.